CAUGCUGUUUCCAACUAUUAAGUUAGCUCUCUACAAAUAUAUUAUUCCGCGAUCAGAGAAAUGCACAAUUAGAUGAAACAGAUAUUUGACUAUGGCUUUACGAGCACGGACCAGGGAGCACCUUUUAUUAACCUUAACCUGCUCCCGUUGACAACAGCGAGUAUUGCUGAUAGACAAUUCCCACAUCAUUCGGUAGUUUUUUAAUUGAAAGAGAAGUUGUUGACUAUAAAAAGACCAAACUAUAACAGUGAGGAUUUCGAGAAACUUAUCAAAUCUGAAAUGAAUGUAAGACCAAAUGAUGUCGCCCUUCCAAUCAAAUUGUGUAAGAUCUCUUCUGUCAUUCGAAAUAUAAGUUGUUCUCACUAAUUGUUCUUAAGAAGCUGAGCUCGAAAUGCCCUGUUUGGGACAACAACAGGAGAACGAGGAACGGCUGAGGGUCUCAACUAAAUAAGGAGUCACUUGAUUAAUGGACAGUAUAUUAGAGAUAUUCAUUUAAUAUGGAAACACAAUUGUACGGGUGCGGUUAAUUAUAAUCGCCGGCCAAACACUUCGAGAGAUAUCAGGAUCGACUCACUAUGUCGAAUUGCGUCGCUAUUUUCACGGUUACUUCAAAUCAGAAAUUGCGAGCGAGAUACAAAAACGUUAUCACGUUAACAAAACCGUUAGGUUGCUCUAGUCAAGUCGAAUAUCGAGGGCUACAACCAAAAAGGGCAGAUGCCUUUCACUCGAGUCCCCCGUAACUCUUCCUUCUCUCCUUUUAUACCCCAAAAGCCUAGCGAGCGCGCGAUCGGGAGAAUACCCCCAGAAUACCGGGCCUGGGUCGCGUAACGGGGCGCCGACCGACCAAUUAAUCGGGUGUCAUGCUUUCCCCGCGUGUUCGCCAGUCAGUUCGGUGGGGAAAAGGGGAAAAAUUUCUUACAAUUGUUAAAUCAUUAUAUGCUGGAGCGUAAAUUGGAUAAAGCUUAUAAAUAUGCCGCUAGUGUGGAGGCUAAUGUUCGUCACAGAAACAGCAUCUUGUGGUAUCAGCUAUUAUAUGAGUUAUUGACAAAGUGUAAAGAGACUAAAUCUUCUGAUUGGUCCUUCUGGUUUUUCUAUAUAUCUAUCUGUAUCAGAUAGAUGCAGUGCUAUGUCUCAAGGAACAAAGCUGUGAAAUAAACAAAAGCAUUUCAGAAGCAGCACAAAUAGUAUUUAAUUUUGAUCAAAACUUGUAUGAGAUGUAACUAAAAACCUUUUCUAAACAACACGCCUUUACGAAGCACUUGCUUACACAUAUGUGGGAAUAGUUUUAUUUGACAUGCUUAUUACUAUGCAAAACAAAACGUGAACAGGAAAGCCGGAGCAAAGUGGGAAGACUAUGUGUGCCUGUAUUAUUAUAAUCGCUUUACAUACAUAUCCGAUGGAAACUCGUACAAGCAUACACUUAUCGAUGCUGUCAAGCUGGUUACAUUCUUUAAAAUUAUGCUAGGGAUGAUACAAAGAAACUGUUAGAUAGAAUUGAUAAAUUUUGCACAGGACUUUGGAGAGAGUGUAUUUAUCAGAGAAUUUUUGUACCAGAACACAUCUCGACCAUAUGCAGAGCUCAUUCUUUUGUACUUAUUCAGCUGCUGAUCCACCUCUACGUUUUUGCAGAGCAAAUCAACUGAGACAUUACAGUCAAAAAACUCAUGGUUGUUUGCUACAGUCGCACAGAGAGAGAGGAAGUAUGCUUCUUUACUUACUAUACUUAUGAAAUGAGACCGUAUUUUGACUUACCCCCACCACUGAAAUUCUAAGGAGUUCGGUCUCCUGAACUGCGUUCCGAUUUUCCACCUGGUGGGUAAUGGAGUGAAUAGGUGAUAGGCAAAAUCUAACUAGUGUCUAGUGUCUAAGAGGAUUAUGGAAUCAGAACGCACUUGCCAUAAUUUUCCGGUGUGCGAAGUUUGAAAAUAAAUAGCAAUCCUCAAAUUAUUGGAAACAUGGAUGAACACCGGCGAGCUGUUGCACUUACUGCAAUUGCUUUCAGUAAUGAUUUUCUUCGUUGCAAUGUAUUUUUUAAUACAGACAGCAAAACUAGUGAUUCGGAUUUAGAUGAAGGAGAUAUAAAAAGAUUUCAGUUACGUGGAGUUCAACGAAAGCCUUCAAGAGUUGAAGGUUAUGUUGAAAGAAUCAUUCCGAGAAUGAACACAACAGUUUAAAAGACAUUUUCGUAUGAGCCCAGCAACUUAUGAAAAUCUGAAAGCAAAACUUGGUCCUGUGCUCUCAUUUUCUGAAGGAAAACUGUUAUUCCAGUAAGAAAACAAUUACUGGGAUCAUUAUGGUUAUUAGCAACACCUGAUUCUUAUCGUUCUGUAGGG
Non-coding RNA from Nylanderia fulva, 2333 nucleotides. The record is from RefSeq and is a predicted model, not a curated record. Lineage: Eukaryota; Metazoa; Arthropoda; Insecta; Hymenoptera; Formicidae.